Long non-coding RNA from Canis lupus familiaris (dog), 3069 nucleotides. RefSeq lists it as uncharacterized. The record is from RefSeq and is a predicted model, not a curated record. The transcript has 3 exons. Lineage: Eukaryota; Metazoa; Chordata; Mammalia; Carnivora; Canidae.
AAACUUAGGACCGUUAUCAAUGAGUGAACAGAAAAUGAACAAAACCUCUAACAUAAAGGGAGAGUCACCCACAUGGUAGAAAAGCAGGUUUUCCCAAGGCUGCAAGGACCAAUCCUCCCUGAGAUUCGACAGCUCUCUGCCCCUCUAGUUGCCACGCUAGACCAGCAACCUCCUCUUCCACGUUUGGUUCUGCCCCAGUCUGACACUACUAGAAAGCCUAGCCUGGUAUAAGAAAUCAGAUGGCAUUAGUCAGCACACAAUGACCUGCGGUUCAGAAGAACUCUGAGUUGAAGAAAAAAAGCUAACGAGAGAUUUGAAAACCACCAUGGAUAACCCAACCUGUGAUUGAUCAAGUGGUUAACACAGAAAAACCGAAAAGGACCAGCUUGAGUCAGAAGCUCACCACUGACCAGUCCACCGUGUGAACUGUGGUGAUAAUAGAGAAAUGAUGGAGUUGGUGAGAGUCAUAUAAAGAAAGAGGCAGUGCCCACUGGAAGCUUGAGCCAUUACCAAAGGCAAGGAGACACCGCUCCCAAAAAAGGACGGAGACUACUGCUGGAUAGCAACAAAGACGAUCUACUACAGAUGAAAAAGAUGAGGCACCAAGAGAUGAAGAAAUCUGCUCAAAGUCCCAUGACAAGCAUCUGACAGAGGCGUAUUCUGAGACAGAAGCACUGAGAAUUCUAUGCCUUAACCACUAUGUUAUCCUGUCUUGCAGAUCAUUAUUGAUCACAAAAUAGAAAAAAACAACAGGAUGUUUUUGGUAUUAACAACCCAAAGAUGUACACAGUUUAUAUUAGAACAUUCUAUGUUUCUAAUUCUGUAUUUCCAAUCUAAAAAUUGAAUAGACAUGCCCCGUCCCCACCAUCACCCAACCUCCCCCCAAAAUUACCUUCCUCAGAAUUCAAUAUUGCCUUUGGCUACAAUAUCUGAUAAAGGACCUAUGAGGGUCCAACACAAGGUUACUCAACACUUGAUCUAUAUCUCCACUAACCCACAUUCCUUCACAUCGUUUAAGUUCAAAUCCCCACCACAAAUUGUUGUAAUUUCCAAGCAUGCCUUGAUCUGAAAUGUACAUCCUACAGAGUUGCACUGAAUAAUGUGGUCUAUGUAGCAAAGUCAAAAAUUACUUCUUAGCAUCUUUUACUAUAUGUUAGAUUCUUAAAGAUUUAGACAAAAUCAUUCACAAUAUUAACAACAACAGGUGUCAUUUUGUAACUCUAGUUUUUAUUUAGAAAAAUGAGUAGAAUUUUUGGUUUCAUGAUGGCAAAGUAAGGCAUUUUUGCUCCCUUCUGCUCUCAAAAUUCUGAAACCACAAAGACAGGGAACAAAAACACAAACUCCAGCUUUAGUGAAAUGAAGAAGUGACUAUAAUCCAACAUUUGAAGAUGGAAAGCAGAUGGAGGAAACAUUUUAGCAAAGAGGAGAAAAGUCAAGCCAAUGACUACAAAAAGCAAGCCAAUUUGCCCCUAGAAAUGCUUACGAAAUGGAGAUGCUGGGUACUUUGGAAGAUGAAAGUAGUUGCUAAAAUGAAGGGAUUUUUAGACUCUCAAUCACCGGUGGCCUGCAGCUGGUUUGUACCAGCUUGCAAGAGUGAACUCUGCAGUGACCUCAUGUUGGUAGUUUGAAAUCAACUAUAGUGUGAAUAUUUGGAGAAGCUGGCAAAUGCUACAAAUCAGAGUUUUGUUUUGUUUUUUUUAAAGAGCUAGUUGUUAAACAUUUACCAGCACACAACAGCUCCCAAGUCCUGACCUUCAUCACCCACUAGAAAUCUGAUGUUGAUUUUCCAGUAAACGGGAACAAUGGCACAGCAGUCACGAAAGCGGGCAAGUGAAAGGUACAAUGCUGAAAGUAAAGUGUAACAUGUGAAAAUCUGUAAAUGACCACAGAAUUCCUUUAACUCCAAACAUCACCCUCCUGAUGCAUUCCCCUUGUCAAGAGAUUGAGGAUCCUUCUCUGGUGAAACUAAACUGCUCAAGAGAAAAGAUUUAUGUAUAAUGAUACUUUGUGGGUGAGUAGGCCCCUCAACAAAGGAUCUAGCUAACUCGUCUGAUCAUCUUACAGUGAACUAGUUCACUUAGACAUGCAAAGUCUAAAAAUUAAUUUCCCAAACACACUUUUUCAAGAAGCCACUACAAGUUAUGCCUUACCCAAACCAAAAAAUAAACCAAAAAAGGAAGAGGACAUGGAUUUAGGAAACAUGAAGAGAGGCAGUGGGCAUUCCCAGAGUGACAGCUGUGCCUCAAGCCCUGUGAACGCAGUGCACACUGGAGCAGGAGGCAGAGGGCUCCAAGAAGCAGGAGAAAAAGGAAAUUCGCAAAUUAUCUGGCUGCUUGACCAUACAGAAUACUGUACUGAGGGAUAUUUUGCAGAACUGUUAGAGGGUAUUGGAAGACAUAGCAUCCAAGAACAUUAAAGGGGGGAAAAUAAGGCAAUUAUUAACCCCAGCUAAAAAUAACAACAAAAAAAGAGAAAAGAAAUACAGUCAUACAGAUCAUUCAACUGUGGAAAACAUUUACAUAGUCAUAAGAAGAUACUGGGGAAAGAUAUAACUACACAUUUAGACAUAAUAAAUUAUAUACGGAGGAAGUAAAGUUUUUUUACUUCACUACAUAAACCAAAUUAUAUAGUGCAGCUUUGUAGUGUUUACUACAUGUGUUUACAUUUCAGAGCAGGGCACACUUGGAAAUAACUGCAAUUUAGGUAGGAUUUUGAACCUAAAGAGGAAGUAGGUAUAAAUAAGUAAAGAUCCUCAUACAGCCUAAUAAAAAUGAUUAAUCGAGAGUCAUAUUAUUUUCAAAUAAGGAAGUAAAUGCCAGAACAAAUAGCUAAAAACAUAGAAGCAGUCUUCUAGUAAGUGAAACAAGGUGGUAAGAGAAGAGAAACAAGAAUAUUUUUUUUGAUAUAUGCUCUAUAAGAAUAUUUGACUUAAACAUUUUCAUAUAAUACUUUCACCAUAACACUUAAUUUAAAUAAUUAAAAAAUAAAGAAAAAUAAAAUAGUUUAUAAAUUAUGGGCAACUCCAGAGACUGUGGUAAUUAUUGAUAUUCUAGUAAGAAUGAGAUUCCU